UAGGGAAUCUUCGNCAANGGACGGAAGUCUGACCGAGCAACGCCGCGUGAGUGAAGAAGGUUUUCGGAUCGUAAAGCUCUGUUGUAAGAGAAGAACGAGUGUGAGAGUGGAAAGUUCACACUGUGACGGUAUCUUACCAGAAAGGGACGGCUAACUACGUGCCAGCAGCCGCGGUAAUACGUAGGUCCCGAGCGUUGUCCGGAUUUAUUGGGCGUAAAGCGAGCGCAGGGGGUUAGAUAAGUCUGAAGUUAAAGGCUGUGGCUUAACCAUAGUACGCUUUGGAAACUGUUUAACUUGAGUGCAAGAGGGGAGAGUGGAAUUCCAUGUGUAGCGGUGAAAUGCGUAGAUAUAUGGAGGAACACCGGUGGCGAAAGCGGCUCUCUGGCUUGUAACUGACGCUGAGGCUCGAAAGCGUGGGGAGCAAACAGGAUUAGAUACCCUGGUAGUCCACGCCGUNNCGAUGAGUGCUAGGCGUUAGACCCUUUCCGGGGUUUAGUGCCGCAGCUAACGCAUUAAGCACUCCGCCUGGGGAGUACGACCGCNGUUG
Molecule: ribosomal RNA, 547 nt
Filed under: uncultured bacterium
Lineage: Bacteria
Description: bacterial SSU rRNA
Rfam family: Bacterial small subunit ribosomal RNA
Source: RNAcentral